CAGUUUUGUAAGAUUUGAAGUAUACUACAAGUGCACAUUCAAUACAAUUAGCUUCACACAGGUUGGGCACGAGCUGUAAAAUUACUCUAUAUAAAAUGUUUGCAGUUCAUAAACAAUUUUAACUACAGGCUAAUCAUGUGAUUAGUGAGAUUUUUUGCAUAAAAUAUUCCAUAAAGUUUUUUUUUUUUUUUUUUUUUUAACUUAGACCUGUAAGCAACCACUACUAGCAAUUGCAUCGCACAACCACAACUGCUAAGCAUUAUGUUUUUCCUAGAUCCUUUAUAUCUAAAAAUUAGCAGUGAUAUUGUAGCUUUUUUCCCCUUUAAUUCUGCCAGACUAAACCCAGGAGUCAAGCAAUAAAUAAGUAAACAGGAAACAUAUCACUGAGCAGCGCAUGAAUCAUUUGCAGGUAAAAAUAAUCUGCUUCCUCCCAGUUCAAACCGAUGAGAGGAAGUAGGAGUCAGACUUCAUGAGGAGCAUCGUUCACGGAUAAUACACAAAGUCUCAACGGAUAUUCAGCUGAGGCUUUGGCAGCAUGCCACUCCGCCAAUGUUCAGUAGCCUGCAGGUUCAAGGAGUGCAGAAGCCAGGAAGUGUUGAAGGCAACGAGUUUCACCCCUGACCAUAGAGAGUAUGAAUGAAUGUAGAAAACAACAGUCUCUGGCACGCCACAUUAACAGCAAGGUAAUGCAGUAUUCAUGAAUGUAAUACCCAGAACAUCACUGUCCGUUGUGAGAUC
This is a long non-coding RNA of Cyprinus carpio (common carp), 738 nucleotides long. NCBI's taxonomy places the organism in Eukaryota, Metazoa, Chordata, Actinopteri, Cypriniformes, Cyprinidae. The record is from Ensembl.